This 263-nucleotide unclassified non-coding RNA is filed under the name air metagenome. Its description in RNAcentral is "partial contains small subunit ribosomal RNA, internal transcribed spacer 1, and 5.8S ribosomal RNA". The stretch from base 1 to 46 matches the Rfam family "Eukaryotic small subunit ribosomal RNA", at positions 1786 to 1831 of the family's 1831-position model. The record is from RNAcentral.
AAGUCGUAACAAGGUUACCGUAGGUGAACCUGCGGUAGGAUCAUUAAAGAGAUAGGGUUCUAACGAGCCCGACCUCCAACCCUUUGUUUACCAAACCUCUGUUGCCUCGGCGGGUCGCCGGCGCCUUUAACUAGGUGCCGCCGUCGGCCUCCGCGCUUUCGAGUGCCCGCCGUAGGACCUUAGAAACUCUUUAUAAACGAGUAUAAUCUGAGUGGAUAUUUAAUCUUCAAUUAAAACUUUCAACAACGGAUCUCUUGGUUCUG